ACCCUGAGAUCAAGACCUGAGCUGGAAUCAAGAGUUGGAUGCUUAACUGAGCCACCCAGGAUUUACCAAAAAUCAGAAGAAUUUACAUUGACCUAAACAACUGUUAACUUCUAUAAUCAACUAAUUACCUAAAGAAAGCACCAAGCCCAAGUAAGUCUAAUUCUUCCAGGCAAAAUGCUCAGGAAGAAUGACCAAACCCAGCGGAAAAGACGACGUGGGAAACUAGCUUUGGCACAUGUUUCAACGUUGCCUUUGACUGUAAUGGUGCGCUCUGGAUUAUACAGCGUCAAUUCCUGCAAUCUGCAGAAUGAAAAAGAGGAGAAAGAAAAAGAAUGGAAAUUACAGGAGGAAGACAGUUAAUUAAACUUCAGCCACAGAUGGCAACUAAAACCCAACUAUGGUGCCUGGCGACAUGUAAAAAUGGGUGAUCAGACAUGAACAAUGAGUAAGCCCCCCAAAGACAUGAAUCCAAGAACUGUAAAGCUGCAGAAGAAAAUACUUCCCCCUCCUACCUUCUCAAUAAAAAUUACUGGGUGUACACAGUUCAAUGAAGUCCAUGUUUGAAACACAGUGUACUUCUUGCCCAAUUAAGGUGAACCUUUUUCAC
This is a long non-coding RNA of Zalophus californianus (California sea lion), 607 nucleotides long. RefSeq lists it as uncharacterized. NCBI's taxonomy places the organism in Eukaryota, Metazoa, Chordata, Mammalia, Carnivora, Otariidae. The record is from RefSeq and is a predicted model, not a curated record. The transcript is spliced from 3 exons.